Molecule: long non-coding RNA, 1201 nt
Filed under: Elaeis guineensis (African oil palm)
Lineage: Eukaryota; Viridiplantae; Streptophyta; Magnoliopsida; Arecales; Arecaceae
Description: long non-coding RNA (EGUI_LNC062775)
Source: RNAcentral
CUAUCAAGCCGCCCCAAGCGCUCACUAAGCUCUGCCGCCAGCCGACCUCCUACGACCGUCGGCUGCUCCCCGAAUCCCUUCCAGACUUCUUCCAGCCAGGUUCAACUCCAAUCCGAACUACUUCGGAUCUCGCCAACGGUCGAACUUCAGCAACGACAGAUUUCUACAACUACCAGACUCCGUCCGGACUCCUACGGGAGCCGGACUUCGUCCCCAACCUCAGCUACAGGAAGACUCCGUCCGGACUCCUACGGGAACCGAACUUCAUCCCCAACCUCAGCUAUAGGAAGACUCCGUCCGGACUCCUACGGGAGCCGGACUUCAUUCCCAACCCAGCUAUAGGAAGACUCCAUCCGAACUCCUACGGGAGCCGAACUUCAUCCCCAACCUCAACUACAGGAAGACUCCGUCCGGACUCCUACGGGAGCCGGACUUCGUCCCCAACCUUAGCUACAGGAAGACUCCAUCCGGAUUCCUAUGGGAGCCGGACCCAACCUCAACUACAGGAAGACUACGUCUGGACUCCUACGGGAGCCGGACUUCGUCCCCAACCUCAACUACAGGAAGACUCCGUCCGGACUCCUACGAGAGCCGGACUUCAUCCCCAACCUCAACAGCUGGAAGACUCCAACCAGACUCCUACGGGAGCCGGACCCCGCCCGGACUUCAUCCCCAACCUCAGCUACAGGAAGACUCCAUCCAGACUCCUACGGGAGCCAGACUUCAUCCCCAACCUCAACUACAGGAAGACUCUGUCCGGACUCCUACGGGAGCCGGACUUCAUCCCAAACCUUAGCUAUAGGAAGACUUCGUCCGGACUCCUACGGGAGCUGGACUUCGUCCCCAACCUCAGCUACAGGAAGACUCCGUCCGGACUCCUACGAGAGCCGGACUUCGUCCCCAACCUCAGCUACAGGAAGACUCCAUCCGGACUCCUACGGGAGCCGGACUUCAUCCCCAACCUCAACUACUGGAAGACUCCGUCCAGACUCCUACGAGAGCCGGACCCUGCCCGAACUUCAUCCCCAACCUCAGCUACAGGAAGACUCCGUCCGAACUCCUACGGGAGCCGGACUUCGUCCCCAACCUCAGCUAUAAGAAGACUCCGUCCGGACUCCUACGGGAGCCAGACUUCAUCCCCAACCUCAACUGCUGGAAGACUCCGUCCGGACUCUUACGGGAGCCGGACCUCAUCCUCGUC